GAUGAAGAACGUAGCGAAAUGCAAUAAGUAAUGUGAAUUGCAGAAUUCAGUGAAUCAUCGAAUCUUUGAACGCACCUUGCACCCUUUGGCAUUCCGAAGGGUAUGCUCGUUUGAGUGUCAUUGUACUCUCACACUCUCCGAUCCUAUGGAUUCGGGGAGCGGUGGACUUGGGUGUUGCUGCCUUUCCCUGUGGCUCACCUCAAAUGCGUCAGUGCACCUCUUGGUUGGACAUAGUACGGCGUGAUAAGUGUCUUCGCCGGCACCUCGCAAGAGGGUGGCCGAUCGGGAGCUCUGCGCUUUCAAACCGUCUUCGGACAAUUUCUGACAUCUUGACCUCAAAUCGAGUAGGACUACCCGCUGAACUUAAGCAUAUCAAUAAGCGGAGGA
RNAcentral lists this unclassified non-coding RNA (387 nucleotides) under soil metagenome. RNAcentral's name for it is "partial contains 5.8S ribosomal RNA, internal transcribed spacer 2, and large subunit ribosomal RNA". The stretch from base 1 to 120 matches the Rfam family "5.8S ribosomal RNA", at positions 35 to 154 of the family's 154-position model. The record is from RNAcentral.